Molecule: ribosomal RNA, 377 nt
Filed under: uncultured delta proteobacterium
Lineage: Bacteria; Deltaproteobacteria
Description: bacterial SSU rRNA
Rfam family: Bacterial small subunit ribosomal RNA
Source: RNAcentral
UAAUACGGAGGGUGCAAGCGUUGUUCGGAAUUACUGGGCGUAAAGGGUGCGUAGGCAGCCUGCUAAGUCAGAUGUGAAAGUCCACGGCUCAACCGUGGAAGUGCAUUUGAAACUGUCAGGCUUGAGUACCGGAGGGGAAAGUGGAAUUCCCGGUGUAGAGGUGAAAUUCGUAGAGAUCGGGAGGAACACCGGUGGCGAAGGCGACUUUCUGGACGAAUACUGACGCUGAGGCGCGAAAGCGUGGGGAGCAAACAGGAUUAGAUACCCUGGUAGUCCACGCCGUAAACGAUGUGAACUAGGGAUAGGGGGUGUUGAUCCCUCCUGUCCCGGAGCUAACGCAUUAAGUUCACCGCCUGGGGAGUACGGUCGCAAGAUUA